This 326-nucleotide ribosomal RNA is filed under the name Acanthocephala declivis. RNAcentral describes it as "partial large subunit ribosomal RNA". The record is from RNAcentral. Lineage: Eukaryota; Metazoa; Arthropoda; Insecta; Hemiptera; Coreidae.
CGCAGUAUCUUGACUGUGCGAAGGUAGCAUAAUCACUUGUCUCUUAAUUGGGGGCUAGAAUGAACGGUUGGACGAGGGAUUAGCUUUCUUUACUUAAAUUUAAUGAAUUUGAUUUUUGAGUUAAAAAGCUUAAAUUAUUUUGUAAGACGAGAAGACCCUAUAGAAUUUUACUUUUUUUUAAUUUAUUUUUUAUUUUGUUAAUUAUUUAAUUAAUGUAUUUUGAAAAGUUUUGUUGGGGCGAUAGUGAAAAUUGAUUAACUUUCAUUUUUAAUGUUUCAUUAAUUAAUGUAUUUUUUGAUCCUUCUUUUUGAUUAUAAGAUUAAAUU